GUAAAAUUUAUUAUCCUAGUAAAUUAGUAAUGAUAAUAAAGAACUCUCAUAAUAAAAAUAAGGGGAAACUUGAUAUAAGUCCAAUUUUUUUAGCCAAUAGUAGAAAUAGUCCAAUUUAUUAAAAUAAGUCCAAUUCUUUAAAUUUAAUUAUUUAAUUAUCAAUAAUUAUCUAUUCAAUAAUAAGAUUUAUUAUAAAAAUCAAAUUUCUUCCUAAUUAUCUCUUUGAUUAUUAUUAUUAUUAUUAUUUUGUUAUUUCUUGUUCUUCCUCCCUCUUUAAACCUCAUUUAUAGAUUUUAUUUUUAAAUUUUAUAAUCAGCCUAUAUCACAGGUUAAUUAUUUUUAUGUAUCUAUAUGACAA
RNAcentral lists this long non-coding RNA (358 nucleotides) under Malus domestica (apple). Its description in RNAcentral is "long non-coding RNA (MDOM_LNC016663)". The record is from RNAcentral. Lineage: Eukaryota; Viridiplantae; Streptophyta; Magnoliopsida; Rosales; Rosaceae.